Molecule: ribosomal RNA, 313 nt
Filed under: uncultured bacterium
Lineage: Bacteria
Description: bacterial SSU rRNA
Rfam family: Bacterial small subunit ribosomal RNA
Source: RNAcentral
GGAUUAGAUACCCUGGUAGUCCACGCCGUAAACGAUGGUCACUAGGAGGGGUCCCUGCUCCAGGGUUCCGUUCGUAGCUAACGCGUUAAGUGACCCGCCUGGGGAGUACGCUCGCAAGGGUAAAACUCAAAGGAAUUGACGGGGGCUCACACAAGCGGUGGAGCAUGUGGUUUAAUUCGAAGCAACGCGAAGAACCUUACCCGGGUUUGACAUGUGCGCAAGCGCUAGGUAGUAGGUGCCCGAAAGGUUUCCCGACAGGUAUCCAGUCCUGAGCCUAGUACAGGUGUUGCAUGGCUGUCGUCAGCUCGUGCUG